GACAGAGGGUGCAACGUUGUUCGGAAUUACUGGGCGUAAAGCGGUGUGUAGGCGGCCACGUAAGUCGGAUGUGAAAGCCCCAGGCUCAACCUGGGAAGUGCACUCGAUACUGGCGUGGCUUGAGUAUCGGAGAGGUUGGUGGAAUUCUACGGUGUAGAGGUGAAAUUCGUAGAUAUCGAGAGGAACACCGGUGGCGAAGGCGGCCAACUGGACGAAUAACUGACGCUGGAGAACACGGAAAGCGUGGGGAGCAAACAGG
This 259-nucleotide ribosomal RNA is filed under the name uncultured bacterium. RNAcentral's name for it is "partial 16S ribosomal RNA". It matches the Rfam family "Bacterial small subunit ribosomal RNA", at positions 524 to 776 of the family's 1533-position model. The record is from RNAcentral.